GGUUAUGGCUUAGUGACAGAGCAUUUGCUUGGCAUUCAGAAGGUCCCAGGUUCAAUCCCAGGAAUCA
RNAcentral lists this transfer RNA (67 nucleotides) under Sphaerodactylus townsendi. Its description in RNAcentral is "tRNA-Ala". The record is from RNAcentral. Lineage: Eukaryota; Metazoa; Chordata; Lepidosauria; Squamata; Sphaerodactylidae.